UACGUAGGGGGGCAAGCGUUGUCCGGAAUUAUUGGGCGUAAAGAGCUCGUAGGCGGUUUGUCGCGUCGGCCGUGAAAUCUCCACGCUUAACGUGGAGCGUGCGGUCGAUACGGGCAGACUUGAGUUCGGUAGGGGAGACUGGAAUUCCUGGUGUAGCGGUGAAAUGCGCAGAUAUCAGGAGGAACACCGGUGGCGAAGGCGGGUCUCUGGGCCGAUACUGACGCUGAGGAGCGAAAGCGUGGGGAGCGAACAGG
RNAcentral lists this ribosomal RNA (254 nucleotides) under uncultured bacterium. RNAcentral describes it as "partial 16S ribosomal RNA". It matches the Rfam family "Bacterial small subunit ribosomal RNA", at positions 524 to 776 of the family's 1533-position model. The record is from RNAcentral.